UCCCUGGUGGUCCAGUCGCUAAGACUCUGCACUCCCAAUGCAGUGGACCUGGGUUAGAUCCCUGGUCAGGGAA
This 73-nucleotide transfer RNA is filed under the name Bos taurus (domestic cattle). It matches the Rfam family "tRNA". Rfam says of the family: Transfer RNA (tRNA) molecules are approximately 80 nucleotides in length. Their secondary structure includes four short double-helical elements and three loops (D, anti-codon, and T loops). The record is from Rfam by way of RNAcentral. Lineage: Eukaryota; Metazoa; Chordata; Mammalia; Artiodactyla; Bovidae. RNAcentral also lists the same sequence under 1 other name.